This 229-nucleotide ribosomal RNA is filed under the name uncultured bacterium. RNAcentral's name for it is "partial 16S ribosomal RNA". It matches the Rfam family "Bacterial small subunit ribosomal RNA", at positions 568 to 796 of the family's 1533-position model. The record is from RNAcentral.
UACGUAGGCGGAAAAUUAAGUCAGUAGUGAAAUCCUGCAGCUUAACUGUAGAACUGUUAUUGAUACUGGUUUUCUUGAAUAUAGUUGAGGUAGGCGGAAUGUGUAAUGUAGCGGUGAAAUGCUUAGAUAUUACACAGAACACCGAUUGCGAAGGCAGCUUACUAAGCUAUGAUUGACGCUGAGGAACGAAAGCGUGGGGAGCGAACAGGAUUAGAUACCCUGGUAGUCC